RNAcentral lists this ribosomal RNA (507 nucleotides) under uncultured bacterium. RNAcentral's name for it is "partial 16S ribosomal RNA". It matches the Rfam family "Bacterial small subunit ribosomal RNA", at positions 28 to 507 of the family's 1533-position model. The record is from RNAcentral.
GACGAACGCUGGCGGCGUGCCUAAUACAUGCAAGUCGAACGCAUUUUCUUUCACCGUAGCUUGCUACACCGAAAGAAAAUGAGUGGCGAACGGGUGAGUAACACGUGGGUAACCUGCCCAUCAGCGGGGGAUAACACUUGGAAACAGGUGCUAAUACCGCAUAAUUCCAUUUACCGCAUGGUAAAUGGAUGAAAGGCGCUUUUGCGUCACUGAUGGAUGGACCCGCGGUGCAUUAGCUAGUUGGUGGGGUAACGGCCUACCAAGGCUGCGAUGCAUAGCCGACCUGAGAGGGUGAUCGGCCACACUGGGACUGAGACACGGCCCAGACUCCUACGGGAGGCAGCAGUAGGGAAUCUUCGGCAAUGGACGCAAGGCUGACCGAGCAACGCCGCGUGAGUGAAGAAGGUUUUCGGAUCGUAAAACUCUGUUGUUAGAGAAGAACAAGGAUGAGAGUGGAAAGUUCAUCCCUUGACGGUAUCUAACCAGAAAGCCACGGCUAACUACGUG